Molecule: ribosomal RNA, 466 nt
Filed under: uncultured Acinetobacter sp.
Lineage: Bacteria; Pseudomonadati; Pseudomonadota; Gammaproteobacteria; Moraxellales; Moraxellaceae
Description: bacterial SSU rRNA
Rfam family: Bacterial small subunit ribosomal RNA
Source: RNAcentral
CCUACGGGUGGCUGCAGUGGGGAAUAUUGGACAAUGGGGGGAACCCUGAUCCAGCCAUGCCGCGUGUGUGAAGAAGGCCUUUUGGUUGUAAAGCACUUUAAGCGAGGAGGAGGCUACUCUAGUUAAUACCUAGGGAUAGUGGACGUUACUCGCAGAAUAAGCACCGGCUAACUCUGUGCCAGCAGCCGCGGUAAUACAGAGGGUGCGAGCGUUAAUCGGAUUUACUGGGCGUAAAGCGUGCGUAGGCGGCUUUUUAAGUCGGAUGUGAAAUCCCUGAGCUUAACUUAGGAAUUGCAUUCGAUACUGGGAAGCUAGAGUAUGGGAGAGGAUGGUAGAAUUCCAGGUGUAGCGGUGAAAUGCGUAGAGAUCUGGAGGAAUACCGAUGGCGAAGGCAGCCAUCUGGCCUAAUACUGACGCUGAGGUACGAAAGCAUGGGGAGCAAACAGGAUUAGAUACCCGUGUAGUC